This 875-nucleotide unclassified non-coding RNA is filed under the name Sitophilus oryzae (rice weevil). RNAcentral describes it as "uncharacterized LOC115880167, transcript variant X2". Lineage: Eukaryota; Metazoa; Arthropoda; Insecta; Coleoptera; Curculionidae. The record is from RNAcentral.
CCCUAUUACGUUCGUAAUAAAUCUAUUACGGAAAAAAAAAUCUGUUACGUUGUUACGCCGCUCACCAAUCUAUUACGUUUUUACGAUACAGCCAAUCCAACUAUUUAAAAAUUCAACUAUAAUAAAAAAAGUUGAUAAACUGGCUUUUAAAAUGUUCAUUCCACAUUUUGUGUAUAAUAAAUUAAUUAUUGCACGUGUAUUGCACGUUGACCGAAUUGGAGCCACUGCCGUCUGCUGUGAGUAUUAUAACCUUAUAUCUCUGGUAUAACCUAACAUUUUACAAGAAAGAACCAUAGACAAAGAAAUAAAAUUAUUUGUUUCUUUGUCUAUGGAAGGAACUGUGAAGGAAAGCGGGGAACCGGGGGGAACACCAAAAAAGGGGAAUCACUAACCAGUAACCACUAACCACCAAAGUGGUUAUCUACAUCUGGUGUUUCCAAAAUAGAUGCUGCAAAAUCUGCAGAUCCUCCCAUUAUUACUGCUUCUGUUCGUCCUACAUCAGAACAUAGUAGCUGUUCAGACUCUCGUAUAGCAGGCCCUAGAAGCCAGCCAGAUUCCCCUAUACAAAACUCCAGCAGUCAGCCAGAUUCUCCUGUACCAGGCCCUAGUGGGAGGCGGCAUUCCAGUAUUACAGACUCGGAUUCUAGUAGUGAUGAAUCCACUGGCACAAAAGCUGUUUUAAAAAGGCGAAAAGUAACUACAACCAGUUAUAAACAAAAAUUUCGGGAUAAAUGGUGUGAAGAUAAAAGAUAUGCAAAUUGGUGCAAAUCAUCAUCGGAUGGAAGUUCAGCAUUCUGUACUGUUUGUGACAAAAAAAUAAUUGGAGGAAUUACUCAUAUAAAAAGGCACAGUAUAACGUUACUACAUAAAAAAAA